Molecule: ribosomal RNA, 473 nt
Filed under: uncultured Lachnospiraceae bacterium
Lineage: Bacteria; Bacillati; Bacillota; Clostridia; Lachnospirales; Lachnospiraceae
Description: bacterial SSU rRNA
Rfam family: Bacterial small subunit ribosomal RNA
Source: RNAcentral
CCGCACAGCAGUGGAGUAUGUGGUUUAAUUCGAAGCAACGCGAAGAACCUUACCAGGUCUUGACAUCCAACUAACGAAGUAGAGAUACAUCAGGUGCCCUUCGGGGAAAGUUGAGACAGGUGGUGCAUGGUUGUCGUCAGCUCGUGUCGUGAGAUGUUGGGUUAAGUCCCGCAACGAGCGCAACCCUUGCUAUUAGUUGCUACGCAAGAGCACUCUAAUAGGACUGCCGUUGACAAAACGGAGGAAGGUGGGGACGACGUCAAAUCAUCAUGCCCCUUAUGACCUGGGCUACACACGUACUACAAUGGCCAUCAACAGAGGGAAGCAAAACAGCGAUGUGGAGCAAACCCCUAAAAAUGGUCUCAGUUCAGAUUGCAGGCUGCAACCCGCCUGCAUGAAGUCGGAAUUGCUAGUAAUCGCGGAUCAGCAUGCCGCGGUGAAUACGUUCCCGGGCCUUGUUACACACCGCCCGU